This 843-nucleotide ribosomal RNA is filed under the name uncultured marine bacterium. RNAcentral's name for it is "bacterial SSU rRNA". It matches the Rfam family "Bacterial small subunit ribosomal RNA", at positions 8 to 843 of the family's 1533-position model. The record is from RNAcentral.
AGAGUUUGAUCCUGGCUCAGAACGAACGCUGGCGGCAGGCCUAAUACAUGCAAGUCGAGCGCGCCCUUCGGAGUGAGCGGCGGACGGGUUAGUAACGCGUGGGAACGUGCCCUUCUCUAAGGAAUAGCCACUGGAAACGGUGAGUAAUACCUUAUACGCCCCCCAAUCAAAUUCCAUUUGGUUGACGGAAAUUCUGUUGAAUGCCGGAUGGCAUUUGAUGGGGGGGAAAGAUUUAUCGGAGAAGGAUCGGCCCGCGUUAGAUUAGAUAGUUGGUGGGGUAAUGGCCUACCAAGUCUACGAUCUAUAGCUGGUUUUAGAGGAUGAUCAGCAACACUGGGACUGAGACACGGCCCAGACUCCUACGGGAGGCAGCAGUAGGGAAUCUUGGACAAUGGGCGCAAGCCUGAUCCAGCCAUGCCGCGUGAGUGAAGAAGGCCUUAGGGUCGUAAAGCUCUUUCGCCUGUGAUGAUAAUGACAGUAGCAGGUAAAGAAACCCCGGCUAACUCCGUGCCAGCAGCCGCGGUAAUACGGAGGGGGUUAGCGUUGUUCGGAAUUACUGGGCGUAAAGCGCGCGUAGGCGGAUUGGAAAGUUAGAGGUGAAAUCCCGGGGCUCAACCCCCGGAACUGCCUUUAAAACUCCCAGUCUAGAGUUCGAGAGAGGUGAGUGGAAUUCCAAGUGUAGAGGUGAAAUUCGUAGAUAUUUGGAGGAACACCAGUGGCGAACGCGGCUCACUGGCUCGAUACUGACGCUGAGUGCGAAAGUGUGGGGAGCAACAGGAUUAGAUACCCUGGUAGUCCACACCGUAACGAUGAAUGCCAGACGUCGGAUAGUAUACUAUUCGG